AUGCACCUGGCCAACAGAGAGAGACACUUUAAUGGCCGGCAGCCAGAAGGGGAAGGUGGGGCCAAAUCCCCAGGAGCUGAGUCUCUCGGAGUGGGGUCUUCAGCUGGGUCUCCCACAGCCAUAGAGGGGGCUGAGGAUGGUCUAGAUAGCACAGUAAGCGAGGCUGCCACCUUGCCCUGGGAGACCGGCCCUCAGCCCAGUGCUCCGUUCCCGGAUCCCCCUGGCUGGCGGGACAUUGAACCAGAGCCCCCUGAGUCAGAACCACUUACCAAGCUAGAGGAGCUGCCCGAAGACGAUGCCAACCUGCUGCCUGAGAAAGCGGCCCGUGCCUUCGUGCCUAUUGACCUACAGUGCAUCGAGCGGCGGCCCCAAGAAGACCUUAUCAUGCGCUGUGAGGCAGGCGAGGGCGAGUGCCGAACCUUCAUGCCCCGCCGGGCCACCCAGCCCGACCCCACUGAGCGCAAGUGGGCUGAGGCAGUGGUGAGGCCGCCUGGCCGUUCCUGUGGGGGCUGCGGGAGCUGUGGAGACCGUGAGUGGCUAAGGGCUGUGGCCUCCGUGGGAGCUGCACUCAUCCUCUUCCCCUGCCUACUAUACGGGGCAUAUGCCUUCCUGCCGUUUGAUGUCCCACGGCUGCCCCCCAUGAGUUCCCGCCUGAUCUACACACUGCGCUGCGGGGUCUUUGCCACUUUCCCCAUUGUGCUGGGGAUCCUGGUGUACGGGCUGAGCCUGUUAUGCUUUUCUGCCCUUCGGCCCUUUGGGGAGCCACGGCGGGAAGUGGAGAUCCACCGGCGAUAUGUGGCCCAGUCGAUCCAGCUCUUCAUCCUCUACUUCUUCAACCUGGCCGUGCUUUCUACUUAACUGCCCCAGGAUACCCUCAAACUGCUCCCUCUGCUCACUGGUCUCUUUGCCAUCUCCCGUCUGAUCUACUGGCUGACCUUCGCCGUGGGCCGCUCCUUCCGAGGCUUCGGCUACGGCCUGACGUUUCUGCCGCUGCUGUCGAUGCUGAUGUGGAACCUCUACUACAUGUUCGUGGUAGAGCCGGAGCGCAUGCUCACUGCCACCGAGAGCCGCCUGGACUACCCGGACCACGCCCGGUCGGCCUCCAACUACAGGCCCCGCCCCUGGGGCUGAGCCGCUCUGCUCUCCCACUCGGAGUAGUGGGUAAUGGCGUGGGUCUGACACAUCUUUGAACCCUGUGGCCAGGCCUGGACUUCGCCCCCAGGCCUAGGACCGCAGUGGGUGGAACCCUGCUACUACCCCAACAGGGACUCCAAUCAAUCAGAGUUCUCCCCUUGCCCGGGCUGCCCUUCACCUUUGGUGCCCAGGACA
Rhinopithecus roxellana (golden snub-nosed monkey) is the source of this 1329-nucleotide RNA transcript. It is a transcript of the gene named transmembrane protein 79 pseudogene, with no coding region annotated. The record is from RefSeq and is a predicted model, not a curated record. NCBI's taxonomy places the organism in Eukaryota, Metazoa, Chordata, Mammalia, Primates, Cercopithecidae. The transcript has 2 exons.